CUUCACCGAGCCGAGCAGCAGCGGGCGGCCUUCGGGGCGGUCCUGGCCGUACGUGGCAAGCAGUGCCUGCGCCUC
RNAcentral lists this antisense RNA (75 nucleotides) under Streptomyces sp. NRRL S-4. RNAcentral's name for it is "ASpks sRNA". It matches the Rfam family "ASpks TB sRNA". Lineage: Bacteria; Bacillati; Actinomycetota; Actinomycetes; Kitasatosporales; Streptomycetaceae. The record is from RNAcentral.